This 666-nucleotide ribosomal RNA is filed under the name Triticum aestivum (bread wheat). Its description in RNAcentral is "partial small subunit ribosomal RNA". The record is from RNAcentral. Lineage: Eukaryota; Viridiplantae; Streptophyta; Magnoliopsida; Poales; Poaceae.
AUGGCGGAGAAGGGAGUGAAGGUGUUUGGCAUGUGGGCGAGCCCGAUGGCCAUCCGGGUGGAGUGGGCGCUCCGGCUGAAGGGCGUCGGGUACGAGUACGUCGACGAGGACCUCGCCAGCAAGAGCGACGCGCUGCUCCGCCACAACCCGGUGACCAAGAAGGUGCCGGUGCUGGUCCACGACGGCAAGCCGAUCGCCGAGUCCACCAUCAUCGUCGAGUACAUCGACGAGGCGUGGAAGGACGGCUACCCCAUCAUGCCGGCCGACCCCUACGACCGGGCUCAGGCGAGGUUCUGGGCCAGGUUCGCCGACGACAAGUGCAACGCCGCCAUCUUCCCGGUCUUCACGGCGACCGGCGAGGCGCAGCGCGAGGUGGUGCGCGAGGCCCAGCGGUGCCUGAAGACGCUGGAGAAGGCCCUGGAGGGGAAGAAGUUCUUCGGGGGCGACGCCGUCGGCUACCUCGACGUCGUGGUUGGGUGGUACGCGUAUUGGCUGCCCAUCAUCGAGGAGGUCUCCGGCGCCGACGUGGUCACCGACGAGGAGCUGCCUCUGAUGAAGGCCUGGUUCGGCCGGUUCCUGGCCGUCGACGUGGUGAAGGAGACCCUGCCCCCGAGGGACAAGCUCCUGGCGCUCAACAAGGCUCGCCGUGAGCAGCUCUCGGCGUAG